AAGAACAGGAGUAGGGAGUCGAUUUACGAGAUAACAGGCUGUUUGGAAAGCAUAAGACCAAAAAUGUGCAGGUAAGGAAGCCGUUUGGAGAAGAGUGAGACCUGUUUCAACAAUGUGACGGUGUUUUCUUUCCGAAAUUCCAUUGUGUUGCGGUGUAUGUGGUGGAGUGAGUAAGUGUUGGAUCCCAUUUUGUUCAAGGAAAGGUUUAAGAGCUAAGAAUUCGCCUCCCUCAUCUGUGUAUAAUCGAAUUAAUGAUUUUUGGAACAAUUUUUCAGCUUGGGCCUUAA
This 287-nucleotide unclassified non-coding RNA is filed under the name Hevea brasiliensis (rubber tree). Lineage: Eukaryota; Viridiplantae; Streptophyta; Magnoliopsida; Malpighiales; Euphorbiaceae. The record is from RNAcentral.